GGCAGUAUUAGGGCCACUGAAGGAAACAAUUGAAUACUGAGAUAAAUGUCAGAAUUCUGACUUUAUUUAUUUUAUUUAUUUUCAGAAUUUUUUCUUCUUCAGUGGCCCUAAUACCCCUCCGUAUUAUGUAAUGUUAAACACUUCAAAUUAACUUUUGAAUUCAGCAGUUUAUCAUUGGAUUUAGAUGCAGAUAUCACUGUCUUGGAAAAUUGGUCAGAGCAAUUUGGCAUUGAGUUUGAUUAGUAAACUUGACAGUAUUUACACUCUUAAUCUUCUUAGGAAUUACAUGAUGUCCACACAAGGCGUACCACUGUUCCCCAUGCCCUUCCUGUCUAUCUACGUGAGGAAACCUCUGGAUUUUUGAGGACAUGUGUGGAUGAUACCAAUGAGCCGGACCUCGGAUGCAGCAGUUGUCCUCCUGACAACCAUCACCGAUGAUGCCGAGAGUCCAGUUACGUACGACCCAGUGAGAAUCUGUUAUCCUAGAGGGUGAUGUGAUUGUCAACCUCUCCAGCCUUCCUGAUGCCUUCCUGGGCAUGCUCAGUUGAAGUUUCCAUCUCUGCGCGUUCAAGAUGUAAGAAAAAUAAUAUGAAAGAAAUGCAACAAUGAAAACUUCAAAAAGGCAUCAACAACCAAGCAAGUGGAUCCAUAAAAUGGACUGAUUUUUUUAAAGGCAUUUUUAAAAAGUCUUUCAAAAUGGACAGAAUUAACGCGUCAUGUUCAGAACAGUUUGCGUUCUCAUCUUUGAUUAAUCCUGGUAAACAGGUCUGUUUUUGUUCUGUUCUAAUUCUUUCUGUUUAAUAAAUUUAAACAAAAUGACUUAGCUAUUUUAUUUAAUUUUUUUUUCUCUGCAUAAAGACGAAGUAUCAGUAAAUAGUGGAAAUUAAAUGUAUUGGUAGUAAGCAAAUAGCAGAUGUUAAAUGUUACUUGCAGUAUGUGUUUAUAGAAAAAAUAGAGAUACUUAAAUGUACUAAAAGAAUAUUACGUCAAGUUUACUGUAAAGUGUACUUUCAAAACUGUAAGUAUACUCAAUUAUAUAAGAAGUACACUACAAGUAAACAUACAUUAUUACUUUAAGUAUAAUUUUAAGUAUACUUUCAAAGAGAAAAGUAUACUCAAUUAUUUCAGAAGUGCACUACAAGUAAACUUAUAUGUUACUUAAA
Nothobranchius furzeri (turquoise killifish) is the source of this 1163-nucleotide non-coding RNA. NCBI's taxonomy places the organism in Eukaryota, Metazoa, Chordata, Actinopteri, Cyprinodontiformes, Nothobranchiidae. The record is from RefSeq and is a predicted model, not a curated record.